Molecule: transfer RNA, 75 nt
Filed under: Bradyrhizobium sp.
Lineage: Bacteria; Pseudomonadati; Pseudomonadota; Alphaproteobacteria; Hyphomicrobiales; Nitrobacteraceae
Also listed under: 1 other name
Description: tRNA-Glu
Rfam family: tRNA
About the family: Transfer RNA (tRNA) molecules are approximately 80 nucleotides in length. Their secondary structure includes four short double-helical elements and three loops (D, anti-codon, and T loops).
Source: RNAcentral
GCUCCGUUCGUCUAACGGUCAGGACGUGGCCCUCUCAAGGCCAAAAUAGGGGUUCGAUUCCCCUACGGAGCGCCA